This 705-nucleotide long non-coding RNA is filed under the name Equus caballus (horse). RNAcentral describes it as "lncRNA (ENSECAG00000053084.1)". The record is from RNAcentral. Lineage: Eukaryota; Metazoa; Chordata; Mammalia; Perissodactyla; Equidae.
CCUGAAUGCCAGGUCCUGUUCUCAGCCUUACACACACCGCUUCAUUUCAUCUUCGCAGUUACCCAGGGACGUAGAGAUGCGGCUCCCGGCCCGUCUGCAGAGGCCUGGAGAGGAGCUUGCUCGUCUGCAGCCGAAGGGGAGUGGGACUGAGGGACCCAGCGGCCAGACAGAGGCCCCCAAUUACCUCGGCUAUCGACGUUUCAGGCGGCGGAACGCAGCGGCCACCUAGAUAAUGAACUGCUCUUUCCACCCAGAGGAAAACCCCAAAGUGUACAGUUCCAUCCAGGAUUGGACACUUAAUUUGAUUGCUGCAUUCCUUUAGUGUCUGUUCCAGAAUGAAGAGUGCCCACUGUACCACCCACGGCACUUUUUUUUCUUUCAUGACAUUGACCUUUUUUAGAGACAGCUCAGUUGUCUUGUUGACUGUCUCUCCAUUUGGGCGGAUGUGAUUGUUUCCUCGUGGUUAGAUUUGGGUGGAACAUUCUGGGCAAUAACACUGCAGAGGUGAGGUCGCAUCCUCCCCAGUGCAUUAUGUAAGUAGGGCCCCGUGCCAGUUCGUCCCACCACCAGUGAUGCUAAAUGUGAUCAUUUGAUUAAAGUGGUUCUGACAGAUCUCUCAGUUGUAAAGCUAAUCCUUCUCUUUGUAAACAAUAAUUCAUCUGUGUAAUGAAUUAUGAUGUUUGAGACUGUGUGAAUAUCCUGUUC